GGGGGGGGGGGGGGGGGGGCGGGGGGGAGGGGGGUCGGGGGGGGGGGGGCUGCGGGGGGGGGGUGGUGGAGUGGGGGGGGGGUGGGGAGGGAGUGCGUACCCUGCCCUUUACUGUGGGAUCACUUCACGAGACUGGGGCUAAUCCCGGAGUGGAGCUCCUGCUGCCUGGUGGGGGUUGGCCCGUUUCGGCGGUUGGGGCUGUACCCGCAGCUUAUCAGCUUGUUGGUGGGGUAGUGGCUUAACAAGGCUUUGACGGCUAGCCGGCCUGAGAGGGUGACCGGCCACAUUGGGACUGAGGUACGGCCCAGACUCCUAAGGGAGGCAGAAGUGGGGAAUAUUGCACAAUGGGCGGAAGACUGAUGCAGCAACGCCGCGUGCGGGAUGACGGCCUUCGGGUUGUAAACCGCUUUCGCCUGUGACGAAGCGUGAGUGACGGUAAUGGGUAAAGAAGCACCGGCUAACUACGUG
This 468-nucleotide ribosomal RNA is filed under the name uncultured bacterium. RNAcentral describes it as "partial 16S ribosomal RNA". The stretch from base 64 to 468 matches the Rfam family "Bacterial small subunit ribosomal RNA", at positions 37 to 507 of the family's 1533-position model. The record is from RNAcentral.